Molecule: ribosomal RNA, 514 nt
Filed under: uncultured Flavobacterium sp.
Lineage: Bacteria; Pseudomonadati; Bacteroidota; Flavobacteriia; Flavobacteriales; Flavobacteriaceae
Description: bacterial SSU rRNA
Rfam family: Bacterial small subunit ribosomal RNA
Source: RNAcentral
GAGUUUGAUCCUGGCUCAGGAUGAACGCUAGCGGCAGGCUUAACACAUGCAAGUCGAGGGGUAGAGUUAGCUUGCUAACUUGAGACCGGCGCACGGGUGCGUAACGCGUAUGCAAUCUACCUUGUACAGAGGGAUAGCCCAGAGAAAUUUGGAUUAAUACCUCAUAGUGUAACGAAAAGGCAUCUUUUUGUUACUAAAGUUCCAACGGUACAAGAUGAGCAUGCGUCCCAUUAGCUAGAUGGUAAGGUAACGGCUUACCAUGGCAACGAUGGGUAGGGGUCCUGAGAGGGAGAUCCCCCACACUGGUACUGAGACACGGACCAGACUCCUACGGGAGGCAGCAGUGAGGAAUAUUGGUCAAUGGGCGCAAGCCUGAACCAGCCAUGCCGCGUGCAGGAUGACGGUCCUAUGGAUUGUAAACUGCUUUUGUACAGGAAGAAACACUCCCUCGUGAGGGAACUUGACGGUACUGUAAGAAUAAGGAUCGGCUAACUCCGUGCCAGCAGCCGCCGCC